Molecule: ribosomal RNA, 450 nt
Filed under: Dinophysis acuminata
Lineage: Eukaryota; Dinophyceae; Dinophysales; Dinophysaceae
Description: partial Bacterial large subunit ribosomal RNA
Rfam family: Bacterial large subunit ribosomal RNA
Source: RNAcentral
UGUCCGAAUGGGGAAACCCAGCACGAGUGAUGUCGUGUUACCUGCACCUGAAUAUAUAGGGUGUGUGGAGGGAACGUGGGGAAGUGAAACAUCUCAGUACCCAUAGGAAGAGAAAACAAAAGUGAUUCCGAGAGUAGUGGCGAGCGAAAUCGGAUCAGGCUAAACCCUAUGCGUGUGAUACCCGGCAGGGGUUGCGUGUAGGGGGUCGUGGGAGCAUUCGUGGUCAUCUGCCGGUGGCUGAAACAGUAAGAAAAUCCAGUUGAAGUUGAAGUCCAUUGGAAAGUGGCGCCGUAGAGGGUGAUAGUCCCGUAGGUGUAAGUCUGGAUCUGUUGAUGUUUUCCCAAGUAACACGGAACCCCUGAAAUUCUGUGUGAAUCUGGCGGGACCACCCGUUAAGCCUAAAUACUUCUCGAUGACCGAUAGCGGACAAGUACCGUGAGGGAAAGGUGA